AAACACAUUACAGUUGUUUGGCUCAUUUCUUGUAACCUCCACCCCCAUCUCUUCCCGGAGCAAGCUUCAGGUGUUCUGCCAUCGCUGCAUCCACUUCAGAGUCUCCACCUCUUCACAGCAUCUGAGGGAUGAGAACACAUUUCUUUUUAAAAUAAAUAAAAUAAAACAUUUGAGAUAAAUGACAUGCACUUAUUUUCAAAAUAUCUUUAUGGUCUACAGCUAAAAAAAAAAAAGAAAACAAAACCCUUCGACCAAGAUGAAUGAAUCAUGAAUGAAACAUUAGAAAAAAAGGUAAUCAACAAGCAUUAGAUUGUAUUUUUAUUGUACAAAAGGUGUUACGCUUUAAUGUGAUGCCCUUGAGAAACACUCACAGUGUAACUGUGAGAAAGUGAACAGGACAUUUCUGAUAAGACAGGAGAGCUGUGAUGUCCCCUGAAUAAUUAAUUAAAGCGUACCAAUAAAAAUUACAUCAAUAUAAGUAACUUUUAGCCUUCUAACGUUAGCUAAUUUUAGCCAUACUCAGUGAAUUUCAGUUGACAAGGUGGGCAUCAUUUCUCUCGGUUCCUUUUUGUCAAACAAGUAAAACUCAAGCACGUUAAUCAAAUAAUACAAAAUGUACUUACACAACAGUAGAUUUUAUAUAAUUUAUAUCGAUACAUCUCAGUCCUCUUCGAGUCCUCUCCUCCUCGUGGUUGCCUGCUCAAUAUACCGGAACUUCCGGAAGAAAGCAAGAUCUAAUCUAUACUAUCGCGGGAUUUUGUAAUUACACGAAAUAUAUUAGUAUAUUUUGUGUCUACAUCUUGGCAGCACCGUUUUGGAAAUUACAUUCAACUCAGACCGAAAUUGUGACCGGGUAUAUAUCUUUUUUACAUGUAUUCAAUAAAAUUCAAUAAAUAUAAUAACAACAAAUACAUAAAACAGGUUGAAAUAAUGACUAAAUUGCAGCAUUUCUUUGCAAUCAAUUAACUACACUGGGCUCUUUGUGAUUAUAUAUUUUUUAAACAAGAUAAAGUGAAUAUAUUUACUUUAUAUAUAUUUUUUUUCCUGCUAGUCUUGCUUGGACAUCUUUUCACAAACCAUGAGGAGACGUGUAAAAGACGUCAGUGGACGUCUAUUCACAACCUCUUUAAAACCUCUUAAAAACUACUUGGUGCACUUUAAUUAAAUAUUGCAGUAUUAAUCAAGGUAUAAGCACAGCUUUUGCAUAUUCCACAAGGAUUUCACAUAGGGUCAUGAUGGACGUGUAACGCACAUGUAAAUGACGUCACUAGGUGACGUCCUCUCACAACCGAUUCACAACGCGGGUAAAUAUUGAACUACAUGUAUCUAAAAGUCAAAGAAACAAUUAUACAUGAAACCCCAUAGAACUAUAAACGUGUACAAACAUAUCUGAAUGCAUUUUUACGAAAUGUUCUGUGUUACAUAUUUCUACCGAUUUAUGCCGUCCUACCGCGACUAUUUUUGGCCGGCCACACGACGUCGCCGUCGGACCAAUGUUUGCUGGGUUGUUAGAGAAAGUUCAAAUCAAAGCAGUUUGUGAUAUCCGGUUCAUGAACGAAUCAUUCAAUGUAACCGAAUCUUUUUGAACCAGUUCACCAAAUCGAACUGAAUCAUUUUAAACGGUUCUCGUCUCCAAUACGCAUUAAUCCACAAAUGACUUAACUGUUAACUUUUUUAAUGUGUCUAACACUCCCUCUGAGUUCAAACAAACCAAUAUCCCGGAGUAAUUUAUGAACUCAAACAGUACACUGACUGAACUGCUGUGAAGAGAGAACUGAAGAUGAACACCGAGUAAGUGUUUUACCUCAUUAACUAUAUUCAUAUAUUUUCAUAUAUAUAUUCCUUUGUAUAUAUUUGUAAAUAACUUUUCAAUAUACGGUCCUCAAACUCUCUAUACGGCAUGAGUUAAACUGUUCACCAUUCAAAGUGAAUUUGUGUCCUCACAAGACUUAGCGUAUGACACGUGGGUAGCAUGAACUACAAAUUAGAUUAGAUUUUGUUGGUACACUUGUACUGUCAUUUAUUUAUGUGCUGUCCCAUUUAUGUGCAUUCAUUCUGAUAGACGGAGCCCUGCCUCAGCGCAUUGAGAUCAACAUGGAACCCAGGAACCACAACUUAUUUUCCUUUUUACAACAAAAAUCCAUAUUUUUACAGUGAGUUAAAUGCUUUUCCUUAAAGGGUUAUGGUUUACCCCAAAAUUUUAAUAAUCAUCUACUUACCCUUGAAGUUUGUCUUAUCACAAAAGGAGAUUUCAAUACAAUGUCCCGAAUAUGCUUGUCCAUAUAAUGUCAGUCUAACAUCAAGCUGUUAAAAUAGAAGCCAAAGUAUAACAGAGUGGUCUUAUGUAUCAUGUGAUGCAUAUUCCAAGUGUUCUGUGUGUAUACAAUAAGGUUUGGUGAGAAACAUACUGAACUUUUUCAUAUUAUUUAACAAACAUCCUGACUGGAUUGUUGGUCUCUGUGCAUGACUGUGUGCUCAUGAGACACUAUUCGUUCAGUUCACACUGAAUUGCACACAAGUUUUGAAAAAAAUCAAGAUUCAUAAAAAUAUUACAUAAAAAACUAAGCAUGGAAAUCCCAAAAAUGUGUAAUUUCUCCACUGACUCCGGACUGGAGCUUCGGUUGUCAUGAGAGUCAAAAUGACAGCUGACAGAUGAACGUGAUCACUUCCUGUUGCAAUGAGCACAACAGAUGUAUUUACCUCAGAGAAAAAAACCCAUAGAUUGUAUUUUAUUUUGUGUUUUUAUUCAUCUUGAUUGGUCACAACUCACAUUCAUGCACAGAGACCAGCAGUCAGGUUAAUAAAGAUGACAUCAUUUUUAUUGUUUGGGGGCGAAAUAACCUUUAAAACAAAUUGUUCACCUGAAUUGUUAUUUACUUAUACUCAUGCCAUUCCACAGACAUGUAAGACACACAUGUCAUACAGGAUUGGAACCACAUGAAGAUUGACAAAAUUUUGGGGAGCACUUUUGUGAUGCUGCAAGUGGGAGUGGAUUUGCUUAGCUGGAAACUGCAGAGAACCACGUCUUGUCGUCCUAAAAAAAAAAAAAAACUACUUCCUCCAAGGAGGUCCAAACGCCAUUGGUACAGACUUUGUUCAGUGAUGAGUAACAUACAUUCAGCCUUUGCGGUCACAACAGACUCCGCACUUGAGGGGUAAACGGACUGAAUGCCACCCCGGGAAUGCGCUCUACUUUGCACCUUCACAUCAGCUAAGUACGACCCUGCAUUCAGCUCUCAUGGUAAUGAAUGAGAUGCUGUGGUUUAAACUGAUAAAUGUAAGCACUAUAAACCUAAUGAAAUUCAAAAUACAUAUUGACAAAAAUAAGAUUUUGCACUGAUUUGCUUUGACUUGCUUUUAUACUGAUUUGCUUUGACUAUAUGUUUUAAUUUUUUAAGAAUAUGUUGUUUAAAUGUAUUGAAAACACUGAAUGUGAAGACAUUUUUGUGCAGGGAUAAAGAGUUACAAUGUUUCAAUUUAAAUAAAUAAUUGUAAACACGCAUUUUAAAAUAUUUUUUUACUUGAACAUUGAACUCCUGAACCUGAACACCACACAAUUAACUCAAUUUUAACACUCCUGAAAUGUAUAUUUAACUCCCUCUGUUUCGGAGUUAGAAUAACACUUUCAGAAGUGUGAAAUAUGUACAUUACACACAGAGUACAUUUCAACACCAUGCUGGAUUUACAAAUAAACUCUUUCAGUCUUAAAAUGUACUUAUUUCACACUUUCGAAAGUGUUAUUUUAACUCCCAAAACGGAGGGAGUCAUAUAUACAUUACAUAGGUUUGUUAAAUUUGACUCAAAUUGAGUUCAAUGUACACUGGCGUUGUUGCUGUGGGGUGCCUAAUCUUUCCGUCAGACAAGACGAGUCGGGUCGGCAUGAACAAGUUUCUUUGGCAAUGAAUGUUUGGGGCUUACCCUCCUUGUGAAGGGUGUCAAUGAUUGUCUUCUGGACAGCUGUAGACCAGCAGUCUUCCCCAUGAUUGUGCACAACCCACUUAGACUCAUUAUGUCACCUGCACCCAGCUGAAGUUUGGUACCAAAAAAAGUAUUGAUUGCAAGUUUGAGAUGAUUGAAGUGUUUAUGUAUAGCUUGAAUUAGCUUAACAUUGGUUUUAAUUUGAAAAAGAAAAUUGUCUUUUUAUAAGUAAGUUAAAACAAGACAUUCUUUUAGAUCAUCUUAACAUGAUACCCUAAUUCAAAGACAUAACUUAAUUGAAAUUACUACGUUGAACCCACUCAUGGGGAUAAGUUAACAGAAUGCUCACUACUGAGUUCACUUUAUUUUGAACUUGCAUAGCAAAGUUGAAACAACUAUAAUUGUAUAGUCAUGUUGAUGCACAGAAGACAAUUCACAGCUUAACAAGACUCAAAAUAAUGAGUUAAAUCAAUUCAUUAAUCCAUUUUGUUUUUAAUUGAAAUUUUGAGGCAGCUGCUUAACUUAUGAUUUUAAGUAGAACCAAGUAGAUAUUGUUUUACAGUGAUAGACACUGUUUCGUUUCCAAUUUCUACAGGUGCCCAAUGUGCUGGAUUCCUCUUUUUUAUCUAUUUAUUUUCCUCUGUUGUAAUAAUAAAUAAUAAUUUGUUUGUUCGUUUCACACAUCAGUUGUUAACACUUUUGAGUGGGAAUAAGAGUUUUCAUUAUACUGUUUUUUAGAAAUGUUUUUUUAUUUCUUUAUUUUCAGAAACAAAGUGUAAGACAUAAAAUGGAUCUGGGAGUUUGUUCAGAGAAUGGUCUCAUAAAAUAAAUAAACAUAUUCAUAGUG
This is a long non-coding RNA of Carassius gibelio (silver crucian carp), 4765 nucleotides long. RefSeq lists it as uncharacterized. NCBI's taxonomy places the organism in Eukaryota, Metazoa, Chordata, Actinopteri, Cypriniformes, Cyprinidae. The transcript has 2 exons. The record is from RefSeq and is a predicted model, not a curated record.